UAGGGCGUGGCCAAGUGGUAAGGCACCAGUUUUUGGUACUGGCAUUCGGGGGUUCGAAUCCCUCCGCCCUAGCCA
RNAcentral lists this transfer RNA (75 nucleotides) under Candidatus Saccharimonadota bacterium. RNAcentral's name for it is "tRNA-Gln". It matches the Rfam family "tRNA". Rfam says of the family: Transfer RNA (tRNA) molecules are approximately 80 nucleotides in length. Their secondary structure includes four short double-helical elements and three loops (D, anti-codon, and T loops). The record is from RNAcentral. Lineage: Bacteria; Candidatus Saccharimonadota. RNAcentral also lists the same sequence under 1 other name.